CCUACGGGAGGCAGCAGUGAGGAAUAUUGGUCAAUGGACGAGAGUCUGAACCAGCCAAGUAGCGUGAAGGAUGACUGCCCUAUGGGUUGUAAACUUCUUUUAUAAAGGAAUAAAACGAGGCACGUGUGCCUUUUUGCAUGUACUUUAUGAAUAAGGAUCGGCUAACUCCGUGCCAGCAGCCGCGGUAAUACGGAGGGUCCGAGCGUUCUCCGGAUUUAUUGGGUUUAAAGGGAGCGUAGGUGGGUUGUUAAGUCAGUUGUGAAAGUUUGCGGCUCAACCGUAAAAUUGCAAUUGAUACUGGCAGUCUUGAGUACAGUAGAGGUAGGCGGAAUUCGUGGUGUAGCGGUGAAAUGCUUAGAUAUCACGAAGAACCCCGAUUGCGAAGGCAGCUUACUAAACUGUGACUGACAUUGAUGCGCGAAAGUGUGGGUAGCAAACAGGAUUAGAUACCCGUGUAGUC
RNAcentral lists this ribosomal RNA (460 nucleotides) under uncultured bacterium. Its description in RNAcentral is "partial 16S ribosomal RNA". It matches the Rfam family "Bacterial small subunit ribosomal RNA", at positions 338 to 795 of the family's 1533-position model. The record is from RNAcentral.